Long non-coding RNA from Gymnogyps californianus (California condor), 403 nucleotides. RefSeq lists it as uncharacterized. The record is from RefSeq and is a predicted model, not a curated record. Lineage: Eukaryota; Metazoa; Chordata; Aves; Accipitriformes; Cathartidae. The transcript is spliced from 4 exons.
GAUUUUUUUUGGUGUGCAGGCAGAUGUGUGGCUCCAGUGCUUCUGUGCGAAGAUCCUGCCACAUGCUAAUGAUCUGAAUGACCAGUGUAAAACCCUCCACUCAUUUAAUUUCCUUGCACUGAGAUGAAGCUUGAAGUGUUCUGCAAAGGAAGAAUUGUGCUUGAUUCCCUCUGCUCAUAGCUACCGCAUCAUAUAAUUCCUUUCAUCAAAUGGUAAAGCUCCAUCUUAAAAGAAGUCUGCUACAUUUAGCACUGUUUUGGUUGUUAGAAACCUCCUUCUCAUUCCUCGCCUAAGUAGCUAAGGUAUGAGUCCUGUUAUGUUAAGCACAGCAUGAACACAGACGCCCUUUCUGAAGGAGUUUACCAUGUGGCUGUCGCAAGUGGCUCAUGUCUCCAACCACCUG